CAACCACGAUCCGCUGAUCGUUUCAAAAUAGAAUGAAUCUGAAUGAAUAAAUCGAGAAAACGCCGAACAUAAACAGACGACAUUGACCAAUUUUCAUUUUAUCUGUUGGUGAACAAAAGCGAAUGCAUUACACCAAUAUUGGCGAAAACGAUCCAGGAACCAGUAUAUCUAGUUAAAGAUUGCAUUACUACUAUGUGAAUGCCUAGCUGAUUCUUGUUGACAACGUCGACUGUAGCAACUGAUACAAAAGCUAACAGGAAUACUGAAAAAAAUCGAAAUUUUGCGGUCGUUGUCGUCUCCACAUACAUUCGAUUCCAGAAACUUGGUUAUUUCUUUUUUUUUUUGGUUCUGUUCAUACGACUAUAACUCAUAUCUACAUGGCUAUUAUUGAUAAUGACCAUUCAUAAUAACCAGAAUCAUCAUGCAUAUUACUACUCCGUUCAUCACUUGGUCCUUGAGAUUCUUCUUCCAAACAAAAAACAUUACACAAUGAUGACGCAAUUGUUUGAUUAUCUCUCUCUGCAUUCUUUUUCUAUCAAGUUAUUUUUGUUGUUGUUCUGGUGACAAGAAUUCAAUGAAAAGAAGGAAAAGUUAUUAAUAAUAAUCAACGAAAUGUUGUACGUCCAAUCCAUUUGAAUGAUGGCUUGAUGAAAUGAGAGAACAAUAAUUUCAAUUCCAUACCGCCA
Dermatophagoides farinae (American house dust mite) is the source of this 686-nucleotide non-coding RNA. Lineage: Eukaryota; Metazoa; Arthropoda; Arachnida; Sarcoptiformes; Pyroglyphidae. The record is from RefSeq and is a predicted model, not a curated record.